GUGUGAUGCACACGUAUAUUUUAUAUUCUAAUGCAUGUUUUUGUUACCGUUACUCAUAUUUAUGAUGCUAUACAUACCUUGAAGAUGUUCAAAGCACUUUAUAGAUAUAGGAUUAAACAAAUGAUGAGAAAAGUCACCGUAGGCAAAACCAUCCUGUUAGCCAGUUGGAAAUCAUCACUUCGAAAAUCGCGACUUUCGGAUAGCGUACAGAA
Molecule: long non-coding RNA, 212 nt
Filed under: Mytilus galloprovincialis (Mediterranean mussel)
Lineage: Eukaryota; Metazoa; Mollusca; Bivalvia; Mytilida; Mytilidae
Source: RNAcentral